AGUGUUGGGAAAGUUCACUUUCUACAUGAACUAGUUCAAAGUUCAGUUCACAAAUUUUAAAAUGAACUAGAUCAGUUCAUAGUUCAUACUUCAAAAUUUUGAACUAAGUUCACAGUUCUUUUUUUCCAUAUGUUGCUGCGAGCUAUUAUUUUUCAAAAUUAUUGCCACAGCCCAUAUAGAACCACAGACAGCAAUUAUUUUCUCAGUUUUAACACUGAAACUAUGCGUCAGAUUUCAUUUUCAUAUCCAAUCAGUUCAACGUGCCGUUUCAGGUUUGCUGUGGAUGUGACUGAAGUGCGGAUUUUCUUUUUGAAAGCCGGCGGGCAAAGUUUGCACAGAAAUGUAAGAUUUUUCUCAUCCUCACUGACCUUGUCAUAAAACUCGUUUAAAUGCUCAUACGAAGCCUCCUUGCUGCUUUUUGUUUUGAUGACCCAAGCAGUGGUGCGACACUGGUGGCUGGUGUUGCCAGAUUGGGUGUUUAUUCCGCUACAUAUUAAGGGCUGUUUACAGUGUUUUUUAGCAGGGUUUUUGCCUGGAAGGCUCUAUAGAAAUCUGGCACCCUAUUGAACGAAGUUAAACUGAGAGAGUGUGCCGUUCACAGACACCAGAAUGGACGAGUUCACAGUAACGUUCAUCAGGCAGUAAUACAGUACGUUCAUAACUUCAUUCAUU
This is a long non-coding RNA of Sander lucioperca (pikeperch), 672 nucleotides long. RefSeq lists it as uncharacterized. The record is from RefSeq and is a predicted model, not a curated record. NCBI's taxonomy places the organism in Eukaryota, Metazoa, Chordata, Actinopteri, Perciformes, Percidae. The transcript is spliced from 3 exons.